CCAGAAGUGUUGGAUUGGUCAUUUGGUUUGGGUUCUAUGUCAGAAACCAUUUGCAGACAAAUGGCAAGGCAGGGCUCAGACAGUCCUCAGAGGGGACAUUUGUGAGAUUUUGAUUCUGCUGGAAAGCUGAGAUAUGCAUUUGUCUGUAGGAAACUGAUGAAGCAGGGUUGUCAUUGCCUUCAAAAUGAAAUUUAUACAUGGGGUUGGCCGGGCUCCUCUUUCCUUCUUAUACUCCAACAGGAGUUGGCCUGGCUGGAAGCCUUGUAGUCACCACCGACUCUACCACUUCCUUCAAUCCCUAAAGCCAACCAGUGGCCAAGUCUUGCUUAUUUUAUUUUUGUAACGUCUGUCACGUGUAUUCCCGCUCCUGCUGCCCUGAUCUGGUCGAUCACUUCUCCCCACCGGGACUAGGAUCACCGCUGGCUCUCGGCUUCCAUCUUGCUCCUCUGAAAUCCCCCAGAAUCACCUUCUGAAAGCUUCCUGCUGCCCAGGUCACCUCCCGCAUGCUCUCCCGCUGCAUUUCACUCGAUUAAACCAUUGUUUCCUUCUGCACCAAAGUUUA
Molecule: long non-coding RNA, 562 nt
Filed under: Homo sapiens (human)
Lineage: Eukaryota; Metazoa; Chordata; Mammalia; Primates; Hominidae
Description: HSALNT0082091
Source: RNAcentral